MicroRNA precursor from Pundamilia nyererei, 63 nucleotides. Lineage: Eukaryota; Metazoa; Chordata; Actinopteri; Cichliformes; Cichlidae. The record is from Ensembl.
AAAUGUAGUAGACUUUAAGUAUACAUGUGGAACUGGGGAGUAUACUAAGUACACUACGUUUAU